RNAcentral lists this ribosomal RNA (982 nucleotides) under uncultured Bacteroidota bacterium. Its description in RNAcentral is "bacterial SSU rRNA". It matches the Rfam family "Bacterial small subunit ribosomal RNA", at positions 9 to 985 of the family's 1533-position model. Lineage: Bacteria; Pseudomonadati; Bacteroidota. The record is from RNAcentral.
GAGUUUGAUCCUGGCUCAGGAUGAACGCUAGCGGCAGGCUUAACACAUGCAAGUCGAACGGUAACAGAAAAAGCUUGCUUUUUGCUGACGAGUGGCGAACGGGUGCGUAACGCGUAUGCAACCUACCUUCUUCUAAGGAAUAGCCCAGAGAAAUUUGGAUUAAUACCUUAUGAUAAUAUUUAUUCGCAUGUUUAAAUAUUUAAAACUCCGGUGGAAGAAGAUGGGCAUGCGUAACAUUAGUUUGUUGGUGAGGUAAUGGCUCACCAAGACUACGAUGUUUAGGGGGUCUGAGAGGAUGAUCCCCCACACUGGUACUGAGACACGGACCAGACUCCUACGGGAGGCAGCAGUGAGGAAUAUUGGUCAAUGGACGAAAGUCUGAACCAGCCAUGCCGCGUGAAGGAUGACGGCCCUACGGGUUGUAAACUUCUUUUGUAUAGGAAGAAACCCCUCUACGUGUAGAGGGUUGACGGUACUAUUCGAAUAAGCACCGGCUAACUCCGUGCCAGCAGCCGCGGUAAUACGGAGGGUGCGAGCGUUAUCCGGAAUUAUUGGGUUUAAAGGGUGCGUAGGCGGAAAUUUAAGUCAGUGGUGAAAGCCUGCAGCUUAACUGUAGAAUUGCCAUUGAUACUGGAUUUCUUGAAUCUAAUAGAAGUAGGCGGAAUAUGACAUGUAGCGGUGAAAUGCUUAGAUAUGCCACAGAACACCGAUUGCGAAGGCAGCUCACUAAGUUAUAACUGACGCUGAGGGACGAAAGCGUGGGUAGCGAACAGGAUUAGAUACCCUGGUAGUCCACGCCGUAAACGAUGUAUACUCGUUGCUGGCGAUACACAGUCAGUGACCAAGCGAAAGUAUUAAGUAUACCACCUGGGGGAGUACGCUCGCAAGAGUGAAACUCAAAAGGAAUUGACGGGGGCCCGCACAAGCGGUGGAGCAUGUGGUUUAAUUCGAUGAUACGCGAGGAACUUACCUUGGGCUUAAA